RNAcentral lists this ribosomal RNA (492 nucleotides) under uncultured bacterium. Its description in RNAcentral is "partial 16S ribosomal RNA". It matches the Rfam family "Bacterial small subunit ribosomal RNA", at positions 28 to 507 of the family's 1533-position model. The record is from RNAcentral.
GAUGAACGCUAGCUACAGGCUUAACACAUGCAAGUCGAGGGGAAACGGCAUUAAGUGCUUGCACUUUUUGGACGUCGACCGGCGCACGGGUGAGUAACGCGUAUCCAACCUUCCCAUGACUAAGGGAUAACCUGCCGAAAGGCAGACUAAUACCUUAUGGUCUUCACUGACGGCAUCAGAUGUGAAGUAAAGAUUUAUCGGUUAUGGAUGGGGAUGCGUCUGAUUAGCUUGUUGGCGGGGUAACGGCCCACCAAGGCAACGAUCAGUAGGGGUUCUGAGAGGAAGGUCCCCCACAUUGGAACUGAGACACGGUCCAAACUCCUACGGGAGGCAGCAGUGAGGAAUAUUGGUAAAUGGGCGAGAGCCUGAACCAGCCAAGUAGCGUGCAGGAUGACGGCCCUAUGGGUUGUAAACUGCUUUUGUAUGGGGAUAAAGUCAAUCACGUGUGAUUGUUUGCAGGUACCAUACGAAUAAGGACCGGCUAAUUCCGUG